UACGUAGGGGGCAAGCGUUGUCCGGAGUUACUGGGCGUAAAGCGCGUGUAGGUGGUGGGACAAGUCUGCUGUGAAAGCGCCUGGCUUAACCGGGCGAGGUCGGCGGAAACUGUCCGACUAGAGGACGGUAGAGGGGGGUGGAAUUCCCGGUAGUAGUGGUGAAAUGCGUAGAGAUCGGGAGGAACACCUGUGGCGAAGGCGGCCCCCUGGGCCGGCCCUGACACUGAGACGCGAAGGCGUGGGGAGCGAACGGG
Molecule: ribosomal RNA, 254 nt
Filed under: uncultured bacterium
Lineage: Bacteria
Description: partial 16S ribosomal RNA
Rfam family: Bacterial small subunit ribosomal RNA
Source: RNAcentral